Molecule: ribosomal RNA, 611 nt
Filed under: Bacillus subtilis
Lineage: Bacteria; Bacillati; Bacillota; Bacilli; Caryophanales; Bacillaceae
Description: bacterial SSU rRNA
Rfam family: Bacterial small subunit ribosomal RNA
Source: RNAcentral
GANGCGCGNCUAUCAUGCAAGUCGAGCGGACAGAUGGGAGCUUGCUCCCUGAUGUUAGCGGCGGACGGGUGAGUAACACGUGGGUAACCUGCCUGUAAGACUGGGAUAACUCCGGGAAACCGGGGCUAAUACCGGAUGCUUGUUUGAACCGCAUGGUUCAAACAUAAAAGGUGGCUUCGGCUACCACUUACAGAUGGACCCGCGGCGCAUUAGCUAGUUGGUGAGGUAACGGCUCACCAAGGCAACGAUGCGUAGCCGACCUGAGAGGGUGAUCGGCCACACUGGGACUGAGACACGGCCCAGACUCCUACGGGAGGCAGCAGUAGGGAAUCUUCCGCAAUGGACGAAAGUCUGACGGAGCAACGCCGCGUGAGUGAUGAAGGUUUUCGGAUCGUAAAGCUCUGUUGUUAGGGAAGAACAAGUACCGUUCGAAUAGGGCGGUACCUUGACGGUACCUAACCAGAAAGCCACGGCUAACUACGUGCCAGCAGCCGCGGUAAUACGUAGGUGGCAAGCGUUGUCCGGAAUUAUUGGGCGUAAAGGGCUCGCANGCGGUUCCUUAANUCUGAUGUGAAANCCCCCGGCUCAACCGGGGANGGUCAUUGNAACUG